Molecule: transfer RNA, 65 nt
Filed under: Fasciolopsis buskii
Lineage: Eukaryota; Metazoa; Platyhelminthes; Trematoda; Plagiorchiida; Fasciolidae
Description: Fasciolopsis buski tRNA-Asn
Source: RNAcentral
GUGCGUAUAGGUUAUUUUUAAACCGUGAGGCUGUUAACCUUAAGAAGAUUUUUGGUCUGCGGACG